UGCGCGACUCUUAGCCUUGCCCAAGGCUAAGUUAUCUAUCUGCUGUACCCAAGCCUUUCCUAAGGCUUAGUUCUAGACUAAUAACUCUUUCCACAAACUAUUCCUUUUUCUUUGUUGUUUUUUCUCAUUUUAUUCUUAUAUCCUGUCCUGCAACAAACCAUAAAAAAUAGUUUAUAUUAGACAACAUACCAUCAAGUUUAACAACCAAAAGAUGGAUGCUAAUGAUGUCGU
Molecule: long non-coding RNA, 231 nt
Filed under: Carica papaya (papaya)
Lineage: Eukaryota; Viridiplantae; Streptophyta; Magnoliopsida; Brassicales; Caricaceae
Description: long non-coding RNA (CPAP_LNC008298)
Source: RNAcentral